This 2764-nucleotide ribosomal RNA is filed under the name Salmonella enterica subsp. enterica serovar Weltevreden. Its description in RNAcentral is "bacterial LSU rRNA". It matches the Rfam family "Bacterial large subunit ribosomal RNA". The record is from RNAcentral. Lineage: Bacteria; Pseudomonadati; Pseudomonadota; Gammaproteobacteria; Enterobacterales; Enterobacteriaceae.
AGCGUACACGGUGGAUGCCCUGGCAGUCAGAGGCGAUGAAGGGCGUGCUAAUCUGCGAUAAGCGCCGGUAAGGUGAUAUGAACCGUUAUAACCGGCGAUACCCGAAUGGGGAAACCCAGUGUGACUCGUCACACUAUCAUUAACUGAAUCCAUAGGUUAAUGAGGCGAACCGGGGGAACUGAAACAUCUAAGUACCCCGAGGAAAAGAAAUCAACCGAGAUUCCCCCAGUAGCGGCGAGCGAACGGGGAGGAGCCCAGAGCCUGAAUCAGCAUGUGUGUUAGUGGAAGCGUCUGGAAAGGCGCGCGAUACAGGGUGACAGCCCCGUACACAAAAGCGCAUGUGCUGUGAGCUCGAUGAGUAGGGCGGGACACGUGGUAUCCUGUCUGAAUAUGGGGGGACCAUCCUCCAAGGCUAAAUACUCCUGACUGACCGAUAGUGAACCAGUACCGUGAGGGAAAGGCGAAAAGAACCCCGGCGAGGGGAGUGAAAAAGAACCUGAAACCGUGUACGUACAAGCAGUGGGAGCNGUGACUGCGUACCUUUUGUAUAAUGGGUCAGCGACUUAUAUUCUGUAGCAAGGUUAACCGAAUAGGGGAGCCGGAGGGAAACCGAGUCUUAAUUGGGCGUUAAGUUGCAGGGUAUAGACCCGAAACCCGGUGAUCUAGCCAUGGGCAGGUUGAAGGUUGGGUAACACUAACUGGAGGACCGAACCGACUAAUGUUGAAAAAUUAGCGGAUGACCUGUGGCUGGGGGUGAAAGGCCAAUCAAACCGGGAGAUAGCUGGUUCUCCCCGAAAGCUAUUUAGGUAGCGCCUCGUGAAUUCAUCUCCGGGGGUAGAGCACUGUUUCGGCUAGGGGGCCAUCCCGGCUUACCAACCCGAUGCAAACUGCGAAUACCGGAGAAUGUUAUCACGGGAGACACACGGCGGGUGCUAACGUCCGUCGUGAAGAGGGAAACAACCCAGACCGCCAGCUAAGGUCCCAAAGUCAUGGUUAAGUGGGAAACGAUGUGGGAAGGCCCAGACAGCCAGGAUGUUGGCUUAGAAGCAGCCAUCAUUUAAAGAAAGCGUAAUAGCUCACUGGUCGAGUCGGCCUGCGCGGAAGAUGUAACGGGGCUAAACCAUGCACCGAAGCUGCGGCAGCGACGCUUAUGCGUUGUUGGGUAGGGGAGCGUUCUGUAAGCCUGUGAAGGUGGCCUGUGAGGGUUGCUGGAGGUAUCAGAAGUGCGAAUGCUGACAUAAGUAACGAUAAAGCGGGUGAAAAGCCCGCUCGCCGGAAGACCAAGGGUUCCUGUCCAACGUUAAUCGGGGCAGGGUGAGUCGACCCCUAAGGCGAGGCCGAAAGGCGUAGUCGAUGGGAAACGGGUUAAUAUUCCCGUACUUGGUGUUACUGCGAAGGGGGGACGGAGAAGGCUAUGUUGGCCGGGCGACGGUUGUCCCGGUUUAAGCGUGUAGGUGUGUGUUCCAGGUAAAUCCGGUUCACUUUAACACUGAGGCGUGACGACGAGGCACUACGGUGCUGAAGCAACAAAUGCCCUGCUUCCAGGAAAAGCCUCUAAGCAUCAGGUAACAUCAAAUCGUACCCCAAACCGACACAGGUGGUCAGGUAGAGAAUACCAAGGCGCUUGAGAGAACUCGGGUGAAGGAACUAGGCAAAAUGGUGCCGUAACUUCGGGAGAAGGCACGCUGACACGUAGGUGAAGUGAUUUACUCAUGGAGCUGAAGUCAGUCGAAGAUACCAGCUGGCUGCAACUGUUUAUUAAAAACACAGCACUGUGCAAACACGAAAGUGGACGUAUACGGUGUGACGCCUGCCCGGUGCCGGAAGGUUAAUUGAUGGGGUCAGCGCAAGCGAAGCUCCUGAUCGAAGCCCCGGUAAACGGCGGCCGUAACUAUAACGGUCCUAAGGUAGCGAAAUUCCUUGUCGGGUAAGUUCCGACCUGCACGAAUGGCGUAAUGAUGGCCAGGCUGUCUCCACCCGAGACUCAGUGAAAUUGAACUCGCUGUGAAGAUGCAGUGUACCCGCGGCAAGACGGAAAGACCCCGUGAACCUUUACUAUAGCUUGACACUGAACAUUGAGCCUUGAUGUGUAGGAUAGGUGGGAGGCUUUGAAGUGUGGACGCCAGUCUGCAUGGAGCCGACCUUGAAAUACCACCCUUUAAUGUUUGAUGUUCUAACGUGGACCCGUAAUCCGGGUUGCGGACAGUGUCUGGUGGGUAGUUUGACUGGGGCGGUCUCCUCCUAAAGAGUAACGGAGGAGCACGAAGGUUGGCUAAUCCUGGUCGGACAUCAGGAGGUUAGUGCAAUGGCAUAAGCCAGCUUGACUGCGAGCGUGACGGCGCGAGCAGGUGCGAAAGCAGGUCAUAGUGAUCCGGUGGUUCUGAAUGGAAGGGCCAUCGCUCAACGGAUAAAAGGUACUCCGGGGAUAACAGGCUGAUACCGCCCAAGAGUUCAUAUCGACGGCGGUGUUUGGCACCUCGAUGUCGGCUCAUCACAUCCUGGGGCUGAAGUAGGUCCCAAGGGUAUGGCUGUUCGCCAUUUAAAGUGGUACGCGAGCUGGGUUUAGAACGUCGUGAGACAGUUCGGUCCCUAUCUGCCGUGGGCGCUGGAGAACUGAGGGGGGCUGCUCCUAGUACGAGAGGACCGGAGUGGACGCAUCACUGGUGUUCGGGUUGUCAUGCCAAUGGCACUGCCCGGUAGCUAAAUGCGGAAGAGAUAAGUGCUGAAAGCAUCUAAGCACGAAACUUGCCCCGAGAUGAGUUCU